GACGAACCGUGCGAACGUUGUUCGGAAUCACUGGGCAUAAAGGGCGCGUAGGCGGCUUAUCAAGUCAGGGGUGAAAUCCGGCAGCUCAACUGUCGAAGUGCCUUUGAUACUGAUGAGCUCGAGGGAGGUAGGGGUCUGUGGAACUUCCGGUGGAGCGGUGAAAUGCGUAGAUAUCGGAAGGAACGCCGGUGGCGAAAGCGACGCACUGGACCUCUUCUGACGCUGAGGCGCGAAAGCUAGGGGAGCAAACGGG
This 253-nucleotide ribosomal RNA is filed under the name uncultured bacterium. RNAcentral describes it as "partial 16S ribosomal RNA". It matches the Rfam family "Bacterial small subunit ribosomal RNA", at positions 524 to 776 of the family's 1533-position model. The record is from RNAcentral.